CCAAAGGCUCUUUUAAGAGCCACUACAUACGCUAUUGAAGGAGCUGU
Molecule: regulatory RNA element, 47 nt
Organism: Acanthisitta chloris (rifleman)
Lineage: Eukaryota; Metazoa; Chordata; Aves; Passeriformes; Acanthisittidae
Rfam family: Histone 3' UTR stem-loop
About the family: The mRNAs of metazoan histone genes lack a poly-A tail.
Source: Rfam